CUACGGGGGGCUCCAGUGGGGAAUAUUGCACAAUGGGGGAAACCCUGAUGCAGCAACGCCGCGUGGAGGAUGACACAUUUCGGUGCGUAAACUCCUUUUAUAGGUCAAGAUAAUGACGGUAGCCUAUGAAUAAGCGCCGGCUAACUCCGUGCCAGCAGCCGCGGUAAUACGGAGGGCGCAAGCGUUACUCGGAAUCACUGGGCGUAAAGAGCAUGUAGGCGGGUUAAUAAGUCAGAAGUGAAAUCCAAUAGCUCAACUAUUGAACUGCCUUUGAAACUGUUAACCUAGAGUGGUGGGAGGGGUAGAUGGAAUUUCUGGUGUAGGGGUAAAAUCCGUAGAGAUCAGAAGGAAUACCGAUUGCGAAGGCGAUCUACUGGAACAUUACUGACGCUGAGAUGCGAAAGCGUGGGGAGCAAACAGGAUUAGAUACCCCAGUAGUC
Molecule: ribosomal RNA, 440 nt
Filed under: uncultured bacterium
Lineage: Bacteria
Description: partial 16S ribosomal RNA
Rfam family: Bacterial small subunit ribosomal RNA
Source: RNAcentral